CAGCGAAAUGCGAUAAGUAAUGUGAAUUGCAGAAUUCAGUGAAUCAUCGAAUCUUUGAACGCACCUUGCGCCCUUUGGCUAUUCCGAAGGGCAUGCCUGUUUGAGUAUCAUGAACACCUCAACUCUCGUGGCUUGCCAUGACGAGCUUGGACUUUGGGGGUCUUGUUGGUCUGUGAGCCAGCUCCUCUUAAAUGAAUUAGCUUGCCGGUGUUUGGUGGCGUCACAGGUGUGAUAACUAUCUACGCUUGUGGUUUCCCACCAGGUAACCUUCAGCAAUGGAGGUUCACUGGAGCUUAUAAGCGUCUCUCCUCUGCGAAGACGCAUUUUGACCAUUUGAUCUCAAAUCAGGUAGGACUACCCGCUGAACUUAAGCAUAUCAAUAAGCGGAGGAAAAGAAACU
This 400-nucleotide ribosomal RNA is filed under the name uncultured fungus. Its description in RNAcentral is "eukaryotic LSU rRNA". The stretch from base 1 to 110 matches the Rfam family "5.8S ribosomal RNA", at positions 46 to 154 of the family's 154-position model. Lineage: Eukaryota; Fungi. The record is from RNAcentral.